AGUACCCUACAGUAAAGUGAUGCUCUUAUUUUAGUAAUUAAAAUGAUUCUCUUUUCUCCUUCUUGAUCAGCUGGAGAUAAUGAUGAUAAUAAUAAUUAUGGUGGUGAUGAUGGUGAUGAUGGUGAUGAUGAUGAAGGUCAGGACAGACUGUCUGUAGGACUGAAGCCAACUGAAGAUGCACUAAAUCAAUGGAAUUACCUCCGCCAAUGGCUGGUGAUGAUGAUGAUGAUGAUGGUGAUGAUGGUCAGAACAGACUGGUUGCAGGACUGACUCCAGCUAAACAAAGCUGGAAUUCCAGGAAUGUCUCCACUCCCAAUCUGGCUUUGAUGAGCUUUGAUGAGUAAAGAAGUGAAAAUUCAGCGAAAGAUCCAUUACUCACCUGCAGUGCCUCGCACCAAU
RNAcentral lists this long non-coding RNA (399 nucleotides) under Astyanax mexicanus (Mexican tetra). RNAcentral's name for it is "lncRNA (ENSAMXG00005009563.1)". The record is from RNAcentral. Lineage: Eukaryota; Metazoa; Chordata; Actinopteri; Characiformes; Acestrorhamphidae.